RNAcentral lists this ribosomal RNA (474 nucleotides) under uncultured bacterium. Its description in RNAcentral is "bacterial SSU rRNA". It matches the Rfam family "Bacterial small subunit ribosomal RNA", at positions 28 to 507 of the family's 1533-position model. The record is from RNAcentral.
GAUGAACGCUGGCGGCGUGCCUCAAACAUGCAAGUCGAGCGAGGCUAUGAAUUACCGCAAGGUAAGGCAUAGCCUAGCGGCGAACGGGUGAGUAACACUGGGUAACCUACCUGGAAGACAGGGAUAACGAUUCGAAAGGGUCGCUAAUACCUGAUAAUAUCCGUCUGCCGGAUGGCGGAGGGAAGAAAGGGGAAACCCGCUUUCAGAUGGGCCCGCGUCCCAUCAGCUAGUUGGUAAGGUAAAGGCUUACCAAGGCGACGACGGGUAGCCGGUCUGAGAGGAUGUACGGCCACACUGGGACUGAGAUACGGCCCAGACUCCUACGGGAGGCAGCAGUUGGGAAUCUUAGGCAAUGGACGAAAGUCUGACCUAGCGACGCCGCGUGAGGGAAGAAGGCCUUCGGGUUGUAAACCUCUGUCAUGGGGGAAGAAGGAAGUGACGGUACCCCAAGAGGAAGCCCCUGCUAACUACGUG